CUCAGUGCCCGUCACCCAGUCACCCCCACCCCCCGCCCUCCUCCCCUUCCAUCACCCCUAGUUCAUUUCCUAGAGUUAGGAGUCUAUAUGUUCUGUCUCCCUUUCUGAUAUUUCCUACCCAUUUCUUCUCCCUUCCCUUCUAUUCCCUUUCACUAUUAUUUAUAUCCCCCAAAUGAAUGAGAACAUAUAAUGUUUCCUCUUUCUAAGGACAUUUGUCAUUGCCCUUUGGACACAGGAUAAUCCAAGAUGAUCUCAUCUUGGGAUACUUAAUUAUAUGUGCGAAGACCCUUUUUCCAAAUCAGGUCACAUUCACCAUGGAUAGGAACGAACAUACCUUUUCAGGCAUGACCGUUCAAUCCACUAUAGGCUACCAUAAGAUAGUGUAAUAUAGAAUAGUUUUUGAAAGCAGAACUAUUGUGUAGGUGGCACACUUGCUAGUGUAUAAAAUGGUGGUAAUAAAUUUUUAUAGGGUUGUUAUGAGGAUUAGAAUAAUAAUAUCUACCUAGGAUAACUAGCAUAGUAUCUGGUGCAUGGUGGAUUUUCAAUUAAUCAUAGUUUAUGUUAAUAGUAUAAAGGACCAAUACUGUGUGAGAUCUAUUACAGAGGCCAUAGUUUAGGGGUUAAAUCCACACACAGAGUUGAGAGAUGAAUACCCUGAGUACAAUUUUUAUCUAUAUAAUGAACUCUGUGACCUGGGUAAAGUGACUUAGCCUCUCAGAGUUUUUUAAAAUCUAAAGUUUGUGAAUGGAGUUUAUAUUACUAACUAUACAAAUAAGUUGUUGUAGGGGUUUAAAAAAAUUAAUGUAUGUAAAACACUCAGCUCAAUGCCUGGCACAUAAUAAGUCUGCUACUUAAUGAUUAUGAGGAUGAGACAGAGGACCACAUCUGAGAAAGUCCAGGCACUCAUACACAGAGACCUAGUGUUUAGAGCAUAAAUAAGGCACUUUUAUAUGUGAUAUCUACUUUGGUUUCUGACAAAUUGUCAUCUUAUUAUUUUGUGGCUCUGCCCUGGGAAGACUGCGCCUCUAGAUGCUCAGGGAGAGGCCUGUUCCCUGGACCACAUUUCUUACCAAGUUAAAUAAGUGAGGAUUUUUUUGGUGACUUUUGAAGAACAAAAGGGCAAAGAGGAAAUGUAGGCAGUGGAAAAGAAAACAUGCAUGUAGAGUCCUUUAACUCUUUCCAUGGGCCUGACGGAAGGCUGCUGGCAGAAGAGCUUUCUUACCUGGUCACCUAACAUUUCCUCCUUUGUUAUGCUACUCCUUAAUGAAUCUACAUGGAAAAACAGAUCUGGUCAACUGACACCUGCUUGGACCAGAGAAGCUGCAUAGAGGCCCGCUGUGAAUAGAAACUAAUAUGAUAACCUACUCUGAUACUAGAAGUUCUGUCUCUACUUCAACAAAGUAGAGGGCUUUGCUCUAAAAAUUAAAAUAAUCAAAAGCUAAUUAAUUAUCAGAGUGCCCACGUGAAACAGAUAGUGGGCAGCUUUUGUCCUUUCCAUUUUAUGCUGGGAUCAGUGAACCAGAAAGAAGUGACUAAGGUGAAAGCAUAUGGUAAAUCACAGAAAACUUGAUAGAGACACUCAGAAAGUCUUGACACUGUCCUGGGCAUUCGGGGGGCUUCUAAGUAUGAAGGUUCCAAAAUAAACACAGCUUAAAAUAUUAAUGGACAUACAAAUCAUACAGAUGCAUCAUCUCAGAAAGGAAAAUAAGUAAAUUAAAUAUGCCUAAACCAUACUAUAGAAAUAUUCUAAUGAUUUGGAUCUAAUUGAGAGGAGAGUGAUCUACAGGCGUGAGUGAGACAAAAUAAGAAAUGAUACAGAUGGACCAUAUUUCUUUUCAAUGAAGAAAGCCUCAUAGUAAAAGUGCAGAUAAAACUGGAUUUUGAAACAAUCUUAUAUCAGGUCUCUUCCUUCUCAUUCAGACUCAACUCUUUCAAUAAUCUCUAACUGCUCUUCCUGCCCAUUUCUAAAUUUAACCCAUUCUUCUCACUCUAUCAUUUUAACAUUCUUCCUAGAAAACACAAGUGGGUAAUACACUGGAAUAAAAUUGCAGACAUGCCAAUGUAAUAAGAGAUGACAGAAAGGCGAUAGGGAGAUAGAGUACAUAGACCUUUUUACCUUUAACAAAGGUCAUUGAUUUCCUGCAGUUGAUAAUUUAGAAAAUAGAUAAGGCAUAUUACCUAAAGAUAAAAAUAGAACCACUAGAAGAACUAACUGAAAGUUUUUCUCACUAUGUCCUAGGGGAAAGAGAGUUCUUUGGGAUCUCUUUCUUAUCAGGCACUAAUCCCACUCAUGUGGGUUUAACCCUCAUGAUUCAAUCACCUCCCAAAGGUUACACCUUCAAAUAUCCUCACACUGGGGAUUAGGUUUCAAAGUAUAAAUAUGAGAAGAGGGGCACAAACUUUCUUACACUAUCUUCUUUUGUCUUUUCCACAAAAAGAGAGGGAGGAGUAGCCAGUUAUAGAAACAGGCAGUAAGGCCUUUUUCCUCCCAUUUUCUUCUUCCUAAGAGCAUGCUUAGAUAAGAAAGAAGGCCUGAAUCAUAGAUGCUGUUUUUUAAACCACAUGAAAGAUAUGAUCUCAGGCUCCUCAUCUAGAAAUGUAUGCCUUAUAAAGACUGUAAUAGUCCCUCAAAACAGCCUGAAAUAUUGAAUUAAAUUGCACUUACUAAUUGGUAAGAGAAAAUUACAGUUAAGUUUAGGUCAAAAGAUCUAUUAGCCUUGUGACCUUAAAGAAACCACUUUAUUUCUCCAAGUCAAUCAUCUCAUCUGUAAAAUGGGGAUAAUAAAACUUAUCUUGGCUAACUUAUAAACUAGUUUUGAGAAGCAAUUAGGGUAAAAGACAUAAAUUGAUCUGGAAAUUAUAAAGUGUAAUAUAAAUAUAAAUUAAUGAAACAAAUGCAUCUGUCAUUAGAUCUUCAUAACAACUCCAAGAUAUGGGCAAAAGUUAUUAUACCCAUUUACUGAUGAGAGCUGGGAAAGAAAAGGAAAACUAUUAAGCUAUUUGCUUGAAGUCUCUCAGAAAGUUGGUUACCAAGCCAAGACCAGUACUCUCUGGCUCUGUUACCCACUGGGUCUCACCUUUGCUGGUUAUUCUUUCUGUGCUAUUUCCCCAUAUACACUCUCUGGAUUCCCUUCUGUGUAUCCCACAAGCUUCUGUUUCCUCUGACUUCAGGUUGGACUGGCCAGUAGAAGACCAGAAGGUAGGAGGAGAAAGAGUUUGGGGGUAUUUCUUCCACUGUUCUCUCCCUGUCUCUGGCAAUAGUUGCAUCCCUCUACAACUUCAACUCCUGUCCAGAGCCUCCUUCCAUGAUGAUAGGUCUCAUGGGGCUCUAAUAACAUUGGGUCUGCAUACUCACUCUUUGCUCUUGAGAUCUAGGCAGUAAACAGCUUCUUCUUAUUGUUAUCCCUGGCACUUCAUAACAUCCUGGGUGCCUCAGCCCUCCCUACACAUCUCUAAAUAGUACCUUCUUGAAAUUCUCUGCAAAAUUCUAGUUAAGCAUGCGUUUUGUUUUCUUG
This 3515-nucleotide long non-coding RNA is filed under the name Canis lupus familiaris (dog). Its description in RNAcentral is "lncRNA (ENSCAFG00000054533.1, ENSCAFG00845012291.1)". The record is from RNAcentral. Lineage: Eukaryota; Metazoa; Chordata; Mammalia; Carnivora; Canidae.